Molecule: non-coding RNA, 72 nt
Organism: Phthorimaea operculella (potato tuberworm)
Lineage: Eukaryota; Metazoa; Arthropoda; Insecta; Lepidoptera; Gelechiidae
Source: the annotation of a GenBank genome assembly
GCGCCCGUAGCUCAGUCGGUAGAGCGGUGGAGCGGUGAUCCGCAGUCCCGGGUUUAAGUCCCGGCGGGCGCU